UUAUCAUUUUUCUUUGUGAGUUCAUCUGAGAAUGUAGUGAUUGUCUGGUUUCACCCACAUAGUUGCUCUUGGGGCAUUUAGUGCACUGGAUGAGGUAUACCACAUGUUGUGAUAGGCAUGUGUAGGGCCCAUGGAUAUUGAAAGG
Molecule: long non-coding RNA, 145 nt
Organism: Chelonia mydas (Green sea turtle)
Lineage: Eukaryota; Metazoa; Chordata; Testudines; Cheloniidae
Exons: 3
Source: RefSeq, a predicted model, not a curated record